ACCUAGCGGCGGACGGGUGAGUAACACGUGGGUAACCUGCCUGUAAGAUUGGGAUAACUCCGGGAAACCGGAGCUAAUACCGGAUAACAUUUCGAACCGCAUGGUUCGAAAUUGAAAGAUGGCUUUUAGCUAUCACUUACAGAUGGACCCGCGGCGCAUUAGCUAGUUGGUGAGGUAACGGCUCACCAAGGCAACGAUGCGUAGCCGACCUGAGAGGGUGAUCGGCCACACUGGGACUGAGACACGGCCCAGACUCCUACGGGAGGCAGCAGUAGGGAAUCUUCCGCAAUGGACGAAAGUCUGACGGAGCAACGCCGCGUGAACGAUGAAGGCCUUCGGGUCGUAAAGUUCUGUUGUUAGGGAAGAACAAGUACUAGAGUAACUGCUGGUACCUUGACGGUACCUAACCAGAAAGCCACGGCUAACUACGUGCCAGCAGCCGCGGUAAUACGUAGGUGGCAAGCGUUGUCCGGAAUUAUUGGGCGUAAAGCGCGCGCAGGUGGUUUCUUAAGUCUGAUGUGA
RNAcentral lists this ribosomal RNA (522 nucleotides) under marine sediment bacterium BB0608_2216_5.1_5G0. Its description in RNAcentral is "bacterial SSU rRNA". It matches the Rfam family "Bacterial small subunit ribosomal RNA", at positions 90 to 597 of the family's 1533-position model. The record is from RNAcentral.